Molecule: long non-coding RNA, 281 nt
Filed under: Homo sapiens (human)
Lineage: Eukaryota; Metazoa; Chordata; Mammalia; Primates; Hominidae
Description: long non-coding RNA NONHSAT205096
Source: RNAcentral
CACCGCUGUUCGGCUGUGUCAGCCUCGCUUGGCAGCCUUUACUCCGGAGAAGACCUUCACCCUGGCGCCUGAGAGGACCUCACCCAGGGUGGCCCGUCAGCAGCACCUGGGCCUGGCUCGAGAGUGACCUGGGAGGGGGCUGAAAGGGCAGACAAGGGAGAGUCGGGGGAGUCGGUUCACAGGCAGCACACUUGACCUGUGAGGGGGCCCUCGGUGGGACGGUGGGUGAGGUCGCCUCCCACUGGAGCUUAGGGCUGGCACCCAGCGAGGGGCAGCAGGGC